UACGUAGGUGACCAGCGUUGUCCGGAUUUACUGGGCGUAAAGAGCGCGCAGGCGGUCGUUCAAGUCGAGUGUGAAAGCCCCCGGCUCAACUGGGGAGGGUCACUCGAUACUGAUCGACUUGAAGGCAGGAGAGGGAAGCGGAAUUCCCGGUGUAGUGGUGAAAUGCGUAGAUAUCGAGAGGAACACCAGUGGCGCAAGCGGCUGACUGGCCGAGACCUGACGCUGAGACACGACGGCGUGGGGAGCAAACCGG
This 253-nucleotide ribosomal RNA is filed under the name uncultured bacterium. RNAcentral's name for it is "partial 16S ribosomal RNA". It matches the Rfam family "Bacterial small subunit ribosomal RNA", at positions 524 to 776 of the family's 1533-position model. The record is from RNAcentral.